Molecule: long non-coding RNA, 896 nt
Organism: Acromyrmex echinatior (Panamanian leafcutter ant)
Lineage: Eukaryota; Metazoa; Arthropoda; Insecta; Hymenoptera; Formicidae
Source: RefSeq, a predicted model, not a curated record
UUUAUUUACCGUAAGUAAACGUUAAGUUGGCAGUAUAUCGAACUAAAUAUUUAUUAAAAUUGACCAUAUUUUCUUCAGCGAACGAAUAAAGGUUCGUCUAUUAUCGCAGUCUACUUUUAGGGGAUGAAUACCGCAAUUUUCUGAAUUACAGCCCGAAAGACGGAGAAUAGAUCAGGCUAUCCACCGGUAGCGAUGGGAUUCCCUGUGUCUCGUGAUUUCGUAUGUCGACGUAUAUUUUACACAGCUCCUUCCAGGUAUAUGGUAGCUGAUAGUAAAUGGCGCUGACUGUGAUACGUGAUAACGAAACACCCAGCAUUAGAUAGUCUGUUACUUGUGUAUAGUAUAUAUAAAAAAGGCACAUGUGUGUGUCUGUGAUCACGGGGCGUUGCAUUCUUUUUCAACUUACCAUAGUAACGUCAUCUAUUUUUGAGAUACUUCGAACAAAUAUGUUGACGCGGACAACCGCGGGCCCAUCUAACAUGGCAAACAGAACAAACAAAAUUAAUCAAUCGUUGAGCAGCAAUCAGAUACAUCGAGGUAGAGAUGUGUGCGUGUGUGUGGUAUGAUGAAAUUCUUAGAUCCCCUUCUGAAUCACCUGCGAUUGACGAUGAGUUGUGAGAUGUGCUUAAUGUAGCUUAUAUCUUAUAUUUGUUCGAUAUUCAUUAUGUCUGUUCAAAAUUUUAGAAUUUGUUAUUUUCUUUUUUUUUUUCUUUUUUUUUUUUUCGUUCGACGGUCUCAUUUAUUAGUCCGGCGAUCUUCCAGCGUCGUUCAGACUAUCUUUCGACUAUCCGUUGCCAUUUCCUUGCCCCCUGUGUUACGUUCGAACGAAAUCUGAUUUAACGCCUGACGGACGUUUCAGCGCGUUUAUCAUCGUUAAAAUGUAACGUUCCGAUAUA